This 503-nucleotide ribosomal RNA is filed under the name uncultured bacterium. RNAcentral's name for it is "partial 16S ribosomal RNA". It matches the Rfam family "Bacterial small subunit ribosomal RNA", at positions 30 to 523 of the family's 1533-position model. The record is from RNAcentral.
AUUGAACGCUGGCGGCAGGCUUAACACAUGCAAGUCGAGCGGGGUGAUGGUGCUUGCACUAUCACUUAGCGGCGGACGGGUGAGUAAUGCUUAGGAAUCUGCCUAUUAGUGGGGGACAACAUCUCGAAAGGGAUGCUAAUACCGCAUACGUCCUACGGGAGAAAGCAGGGGAUCACUUGUGACCUUGUGCUAAUAGAUGAGCCUAAGUCGGAUUAGCUAGUUGGUGGGGUAAAGGCCUACCAAGGCGACGAUCUGUAGCGGGUCUGAGAGGAUGAUCCUCAACACGGGGACUGAGACGCGGCCCAGACUCCUAAGGGAGGCAGCAGUGGGGAAUGUUGGACAAUGGGGGGAACCCUGAUCCAGCCAUGCCGCGUGUGUGAAGAAGGCCUUAUGGUUGUAAAGCACUUUAAGCGAGGAGGAGGCUUACCUAGUUAAUACCUGGGAUAAGUGGACGUUACUCGCAGAAUAAGCACCGGCUAACUCUGUGCCAGCCGCCGCGGUAA